AAGAAGUCAGGCCGGAUUAAGCCAUAGUACGGUAAGAGCUAUGCUGCCUGUGAGCCCCGUCUAAGGACGUAAAAUGAAGUCAGGCCGAAAGCCACGGCUUGAGCAAACCGUGCUGCCUGUAGCUCCAUCGUGGGGAUGUAAAAACCUGGGAGGCUGCAACCCAUGGAAGCUGUACGCAUGGGGUAGCAGACUAGUGGUUAGAGGAGACCCCUCCCGAAACAUAACGCAGCAGCGGGGCCCAACACCAGGGGAAGCUGUACCCUGGUGGUAAGGACUAGAGGUUAGAGGAGACCCCCCGCAUAACAAUAAACAGCAUAUUGA
RNAcentral lists this long non-coding RNA (321 nucleotides) under dengue virus type 1. RNAcentral describes it as "Dengue virus 1 partial sfRNA1". The stretch from base 233 to 304 matches the Rfam family "Flavivirus DB element". Lineage: Riboviria; Orthornavirae; Kitrinoviricota; Flasuviricetes; Amarillovirales; Flaviviridae. The record is from RNAcentral.